This is a long non-coding RNA of Actinia tenebrosa (Australian red waratah sea anemone), 516 nucleotides long. RefSeq lists it as uncharacterized. The record is from RefSeq and is a predicted model, not a curated record. NCBI's taxonomy places the organism in Eukaryota, Metazoa, Cnidaria, Anthozoa, Actiniaria, Actiniidae.
UCAGUCAGUCUGUUUCUAAGCGAGUUGAAACCAGGCCAUACGAACUUCAAGCCGUUCUAUCUUAGAUUCACAAUAUGAAGUCUUCUUUAUCCUUAAGUACGCUGCUAUUGGUUUCUUUGUUCGCUAGCUUCUUUAUAAUUAAUGAAUGUGAAGGACUUCUAUCGCUAGGUGGAAAUCCAAGUGGAAGUCUGCCCCGGACACCAACGAAACCUCGACUUGCUAUGAAGAACACUAAACGCUUCAUGAAAUAUUCACAUGGUUCAGAUCUCAAGACAGAAGCAGUUUUGGAAAGUAUCUGCAAGAUAGCUAGUGUGUUAAACUGUGGAGACUAAACUCAAGAAGAAUAGCAUCCACUGACAAACAAAAAUGAUUAGUCACUUACCAUAUGGAAAAGAAUGAAACAGGAUGUUUCACUGAAGAGAAUAAAUUUGUAAUAACCGAACAUUGCAAUUGUAAAAAGUAUCGAGUAAUAAGAAGAUUGUCAAAUACGAAUAAAUAUAUUUUCAUGUCCACAAA